Molecule: unclassified non-coding RNA, 493 nt
Filed under: Hevea brasiliensis (rubber tree)
Lineage: Eukaryota; Viridiplantae; Streptophyta; Magnoliopsida; Malpighiales; Euphorbiaceae
Source: RNAcentral
UUUUCUUGGCUCAGCAUUAUGACAGGCGGGGACAAUAUGAUGUUGCUCUCACUAAAAUUGAUGAGGCUAUAGAACACACUCCAACAGUGAUUGAUUUGUACUCAGUCAAGAGCCGGAUUUUGAAACAUGCUGGUGAUUUGGCAGCUGCUGCCGCAUUGGCAGAUGAAGCAAGAUGCAUGGAUCUUGCCGAUCGCUACAUAAAUAGUGAAUGUGUCAAACGUAUGCUGCAGGCUGAUCAGGUGGCUUUGGCAGAAAAAACUGCUUUGUUAUUUACUAAAGACGGGGAUCAGCAUAACAACCUCCAUGACAUGCAGUGCAUGUGGUAUGAACUUGCUUCUGGUGAAAGUUACUUUCGCCAAGGUGAUCUUGGACGGGCUCUGAAGAAAUUUUUAGCUGUGGAGAAGCACUAUGCUGAUAUUACUGAGGACCAAUUUGACUUCCAUUCCUAUUGCUUAAGGAAAAUGACUUUACGUGCCUAUGUGGCAAUGCUUAA